Non-coding RNA from Pelobates cultripes (western spadefoot toad), 337 nucleotides. NCBI's taxonomy places the organism in Eukaryota, Metazoa, Chordata, Amphibia, Anura, Pelobatidae. The record is from the annotation of a GenBank genome assembly.
GAGGUCGUACUGGCAGGCCCCGGAGGUUUGUAAUGCAGACCUCCAUUUGUUUACCGAUGCGGCUGGCUCGGCCGGUUUUGGGGCCAUUCUGGGCUCCAAAUGGUGCGCUGACUCGUGGCCGGAGACCUGGCAUACGGCAGGGCUCACUCGAAACUUGGCGUUUCUGGAGCUCUUCCCUAUUCUGGUAGCGUUGGAGGUAUGGGGUUCCCUGCUGGUGGACAGACAUGUGGUUUUCCAUUGUGAUAACUUGGGGGUGGUGCAGGCUAUUAACCAACUGUCGGCUUCUUCCUCCCCCGUGGUUCGCUUGCUGUAGCGCCUGGUUCUGCGCUGUCUGGAG